GGCUGCCUCUGGCUUGCAGAAGCGCUGUGCCUUUGAUCUCGGGGAAAGAGCAGAGUUAAGUCUACCAAGUGUUUGUGUGCACGGUGCUACUGCCCCCUGGGGGAGAAGCUAGGGAUAAUCGGAGCUGGGAGCGGCAGAUGGCUCAUGCAGCUUCAGCACCAAAGAGCACUCUUUCUAUCCACCAACAAGGAAACUCGUGAGGAGGAAGUACUCCCCUGGGUUUCUAUCAUCACCACACUAAUCGAAUCAGCCUUAGGAAAAAAUGACAGCUUGGCUAACUUAGGUUGUUAUAUGGCCGUGAGCGCUAAUAAACAGAACUGUUUCCAUAUCCAUAUGCAACAUCUGUGGGAAAAUGAGAGGAUGUGUAACACGUCUAUCUGGUUUUAUAUUUAAGUUUCGGGGUUUUUUCUGUCUUCCUUUUUUCUUUUUUGUUCCAUAUAUGUAUAUAAAUACAUUCCUCAAAUUCCCUUUUUUCCCGGAUCACUCUGAAGCAGAUGCAAACACACACAUGGAGACAAAAAUGCAGCUGCGGCAAAUGGAGGUGUGCAGAUUGCCCACUUAGACUGUUAUAUUAUCUUUUUUGUGUUUACUUUCUAUUCUCUGCUCCCAUUUUCAGUCUUUCUUCUGUGCUCUCUUUGUGGCUCUGUCAGGUGUGUACGUCUAUUUCCUAUCCUCAUUGUCCUGUCUCUUGUCAUCCUUUCACCCGUCCCUCAUCUAUCCGCCAUCAUCAAGGACCCGGUGGCCUCCUACGUAGUGCCAGUGGAGAGAAGGGUCUGUAUCUCAGCAACGCACCUAGCAACAGCUCCUCGUAACUAUGGAUUAUAACCUGUUGCCAAGGGAGACAGAGAUGGAGGAUUGAUUUUGUUUUCCUUUUUUCUUUUUUUAAGGGAUAAAAUUCAAAGUGAAUUAGAUACAUGAAUAAAAAAUGCAUCAGACAAGGCACACUAACAUUUAUGAAUGGUGACAUUAUUCAUUUACAGUUUAAUCCUUGAGCUUUACCUUGAUAUAGAUCAAUAAAGAUUAGCAACAGAUGAGCAACAAAUACAUUUUUAUCAUGUAAAAUUAUUUUUGGUAGAUCUCUUGCACUAAUUGUUUAUGGACGAUGCUGUCAGUACUAUCUAUUAACAUCAUUCAUUUAUUCAUUUUAUAACAAUAUAGAUAAAUUAUGGAGCUUUGUUGACCAUAAAAUUAUUUAAUCAUCAAAUGACAAUUUAAUGUACUGUGUAUAUAUUAAAGGUGGCAAUACAUGUAUUUAAGAUAAUUUGACUAGAAUUAAAUACAGGCAUAAAUUAUACUAUUAG
Molecule: long non-coding RNA, 1301 nt
Organism: Astatotilapia calliptera (eastern happy)
Lineage: Eukaryota; Metazoa; Chordata; Actinopteri; Cichliformes; Cichlidae
Source: Ensembl